UACGUAGGGUGCGAGCGUUGUCCGGAAUUAUUGGGCGUAAAGAGCUCGUAGGCGGUGUGUUACGUCGGCCGUGAAAACCUGCAGCUUAACUGUGGGCGUGCGGUCGAUACGGGCAUCACUGGAGUUCGGCAGGGGAGACUGGAAUUCCUGGUGUAGCGGUGAAAUGCGCAGAUAUCAGGAGGAACACCGGUGGCGAAGGCGGGUCUCUGGGCCGAUACUGACGCUGAGGAGCGAAAGCGUGGGGAGCAAACAGG
Molecule: ribosomal RNA, 254 nt
Filed under: uncultured bacterium
Lineage: Bacteria
Description: partial 16S ribosomal RNA
Rfam family: Bacterial small subunit ribosomal RNA
Source: RNAcentral